This 468-nucleotide ribosomal RNA is filed under the name uncultured bacterium. RNAcentral describes it as "partial 16S ribosomal RNA". It matches the Rfam family "Bacterial small subunit ribosomal RNA", at positions 28 to 507 of the family's 1533-position model. The record is from RNAcentral.
GACGAACGCUGGCGGCGUGCUUAACACAUGCAAGUCGAACGGAAAGGCCCUGCUUUUGUGGGGUGCUCGAGUGGCGAACGGGUGAGUAACACGUGAGUAACCUGCCCUUGACUUUGGGAUAACUUCAGGAAACUGGGGCUAAUACCGGAUAGGAGCUCCUGCUGCAUGGUGGGGGUUGGAAAGUUUCGGCGGUUGGGGAUGGACUCGCGGCUUAUCAGCUUGUUGGUGGGGUAGUGGCUUACCAAGGCUUUGACGGGUAGCCGGCCUGAGAGGGUGACCGGCCACAUUGGGACUGGGGUACGGCCCAGACUCCUACGGGAGGCAGCAGUGGGGAAUAUUGCACAAUGGGCGGAAGCCUGAUGCAGCAACGCCGCGUGCGGGAUGACGGCCUUCGGGUUGGAAACCGCUUUCGCCUGGGACGGAGCGUGGGUGACGGUAAUGGGUAAAGGAGCACCGGCUAACUACGUG